AUUGAACGCUGGCGGCAGGCCUAGCACAUGCAAGUCGAGCGGAUGAAGGGAGCUUGCUCCUGGAUUCAGCGGCGGACGGGUGAGUAAUGCCUAGGAAUCUGCCUGGUAGUGGGGGACAACGUCCGGAAACGGGCGCUAAUACCGCAUACGUCCUGAGGGAGAAAGUGGGGGAUCUUCGGACCUCACGCUAUCAGAUGAGCCUAGGUCGGAUUAGCUAGUUGGUGGGGUAAAGGCCUACCAAGGCGACGAUCCGUAACUGGUCUGAGAGGAUGAUCGGUCACACUGGAACUGAGACACGGUCCAGACUCCUACGGGAGGCAGCAGUGGGGAAUAUUGGACAAUGGGCGAAAGCCUGAUCCAGCCAUGCCGCGUGUGUGAAGAAGGUCUUCGGAUUGUAAAGCACUUUAAGUUGGGAGGAAGGGCAGUAAGUUAAUACCUUGCUGUUUUGACGUUACCAACAGAAUAAGCACCGGCUAACUUCGUG
This 484-nucleotide ribosomal RNA is filed under the name uncultured bacterium. RNAcentral's name for it is "partial 16S ribosomal RNA". It matches the Rfam family "Bacterial small subunit ribosomal RNA", at positions 30 to 507 of the family's 1533-position model. The record is from RNAcentral.